Molecule: ribosomal RNA, 253 nt
Filed under: uncultured bacterium
Lineage: Bacteria
Description: partial 16S ribosomal RNA
Rfam family: Bacterial small subunit ribosomal RNA
Source: RNAcentral
UACGUAGGGACCGAGCGUUGUCCGGAAUCAUUGGGCGUAAAGAGCGUGUAGGCGGCCCCUUAAGUCCUGCGUGAAAUCCUGCGGCUCAACCGCAGACGGUCGUGGGAAACUGGAGGGCUAGAGUGCGGGAGAGGAGAGUGGAAUUCCCGGUGUAGCGGUGAAAUGCGCAGAUAUCGUGAGGAACACCAGAGGCGAAGGCGGCUACCUGGACAAUUACUGACGCUCAGGCACGAAAGCGUGGGGAGCAAAAGGG